GGAACUCCUCCAGGUAUUUUUUAAUUUCCUUCUUCAUUUCCUCAUUGACCCAUUGGUUUUUUUAGUAGCAUGUUGUUUAGUCGCCAUGUAGUAGGUUUUUUUCUCAUUUCUUUCCCUGUGGUUGAUUUCUAGUUUCAUGCCAUUGUGGUCAGAGAAAAGACUUGAAAUAAUGUCUAUACUCUUAAAUUUGUUGAGGUUAGCUUUGUGAAUUCAUGGAACACACAGAAUUAGGAAGGGGUGCGUUUUGGUAGAGAACAGGCACCUUUGGGGGGAGACCAGGAUCGCUCAUUAAAACGCCGAGGUCGGGGGAAGCUUGCUAUGGAGCACGGGGUCCUGCAGGGUAAAAACACGAUGCUGGGUGACAAAGCCGAGGCCAGGACAGGGGCUGGCCUGGAGAGACUGCAGAGAUUAUUGGAGCAGUGUUUCUCUUGGCAUUGGGACUAAUAAUUAAAAAAGCAGCCACCUUCACUCCAUAGACAUGGUCUCUGUAGUUCUCUGCAAAUAAGUGGUCUCAAAAAAAAAAAAAAUCUUUUUUUUUCCCUUUUCCUUCCUUCCUUCUUUUCUCUCUCUCUUUCUUUCUCUCUCUUCUUCCUUCCUUCCUCCCUUCCUUCCUUCCUCCCUUCCUUCCUGCCUCCCUCCCUUCCUUUCCUUCCUCCCUCCCUCCCUCUCUUUCUUUUGCUAAACCUUCAUAAUAAGACCCUUCCCACAGGCCAUGUGAGGAGGCUGAAGAUGGGUCCUUGCUGUGUUCAACACUGCUCCCUCUGGGAACAUCCACGUGGGUCCCCUGAGUAUUUUAGGGGCUGCUGAGCUUGGGAGCCUGGUGGUACCUGCGAGUGGGUGCUGUCCGAUUGGCUGGCUGAUCAUCCCCCCCAUCCCUCUCAGCCAAUCCUGGGGGAGGGGGUGUGGCCAGGACACAAGCACCCUAGGGGAGAUUGUCAGAUAGCAGCCAGUGUGCAUGGUCCAGUCCUGACCCAGUUUACCCAGUUUCUCAGUCCCAGGGCCUUGGAUGUGGGUUUCCCCUGGUCCCUGCGGGUCACCUGCUUCUGUUCAGCUCUUGUUGGUUAGUGUCUGGUGUUUGAUCGUCUGCUUUGGGUUGGGUGUCCAAACACAGGUGGGGGCUGGGGCUUCAGCACAGGUCAGAGGCCCCCCCCCGGGUGUUUCUCGGCUUUUCAGCUCCUACCUGGGGCACUAGAGAGCCCUCUGCCUGCCUUGUUAGACUCUCACACAUGUGGGGGUUACACACGUGGGGGUUGCACGCGCGGCCAUCCUGGGUUUCUCGCCCUCCUCUUGUGAGUUACAUUGAGUCAAAAGGGUUCCCUCCCCCUCCCUGCCCAGGGGGCGGGAGGAUGUAUGUUUCAGCGGGUUGUGAGUGACAUCAGUUCGGCUGGCCCUACUCUGCAGAGUCAGAGUGCCCACGACGGUGCCCCGUGUGAGAGGAGUACGAGGGUCCUGCUGGGCCAGCUUCCUGACGGACCCGACAGACCAGACAGAGGCGGUCAGGCUCUCCCCUUCUGGAAACAGCGGUAGGACUGGGAGAGCCGGCCCAGGGUGGAUUUGGGGCUUCCCGCAUCCCCCCUGGGGUGGGGGCACAUUUGGCAGAAGAGAGGCCAUGUGGUUGUGUAGAUAGGGCCUCUCUUAGAGCCUGUUCUGGGAUUGAAUCCUGGCUGUGUGACGUGGCCAAGUUACACGCCUUCUCUGAGCCUCCUGUGUGUCGUGUCCUGUCUAAAGUGAGGCUAACAGAUGUGCCUGGCAAUUGUGGGAAGGACGCAGCUUCUUGAGCGCACCUCGCACAGUGCUUAGCAUUCAGCAGGUGCUUAGUCAGGGCCCGUUGUUCAGCCGGGCUGGACCCAGCUGUGGUGAUUGGAAAGACAGGAGGUUGUGCAGGUGACAAAACCUUCUAGCAGUCAGUUAAUUUUGCUGAUUUGGACGGAGGGGCCACAGGGCGCCGUCUGGGCUUCCAGGCCCUGAAAGGUCAGUCGUGCCGUCAUCGUCCCUUCUCUGCAGACCCCCCACCCCACCCCCACUCCCUGGAGAACUGCUGCAUUACUGUCCCAGUCCAUUCAAGACAGCGUCUGUGAGGUCACCCCCUUUUCUCUGACCAGACCCUGGGGGAGAUGCUCACCGUGCAGACCCUCAGCUUUGGGCUCAGAUUAUAGAUCACUCUGGUUUGGCUUCUCAUUCUCGUUGGAUUUAGCAGGGCGCGGUGGGAGAGGGUGGUGACAGAAGGAGCAGGGGCCGUGGGGAGAUGAGGGGUGCAGGUGGGUGCAGGUGUUAAAUUCCCGUGUUCUAGCCCAGGGUUCCUCAGCCUCGGUGCUGCUGACAUUUUGGGGGCGGUGGGCGGCCUUGCGUGUAUUGUAAGAGAGGCCAGUGGCCCCCCUUCUGCAGGUGUGACCCCUGAGAACGUCUCCAGAUGUUAUAUCAGUUGUUUCCUGGGAGGGACAGUUGAGAAUCACUGGUCUCACCCCCCCACCACCCCCCCCACCUUGCAAGGUGGCUUCUGGGCAGGAAAACGAGGAAAGGAUUGCCUCUGUUUCCAGGUUCUGUUCUGCGUGGGUUUGAACCCGCCCAGUGAAAUAUUCAAGGAAUUUAAGAGCGGGAAGGCGCCCAGGCCAGGCCUUGACCCGGGCAGACCGCUCUGUGCUCAAGUGAAAGGGUCGAGGGAGGGAUGCCCCCCCGCCCCCCCAUCCCGUGGAGCUUUUCACGGAGAACCUCUUUUCAGGCCUCCAGGAGUUUGGUUACUAGCUCGUGAGUCUGAUCUGCCCUCCCAUCCUCUGCACACACACAUUCAUCACUCAGGAGCAGGCCCCUCUGUGUGCACAGAAUGGACUUUUAUUUGAAAUGAUUCAUUACCAAAAAAAAAGUUUCACUUGCGAGGACGCUGCUGCCGUCUCUCCUCCCCUUUGAUUCCUUCUCUGUCCUCCGUAAGCUGAGCCUGGAAGGGGGUGUCUGAUGAGACUGGUUGGCCAGGGAUUUUCCUAGGCUCUGAUUAAAGGCAAAUUAUCAAAUGGAAGUUGAAUGUUGCUGCUGUGCUUGUAAAAAAGUCAGUUGUGUGCCAUAAAAUCCAUCACAGCUCCCUCGGUGAGAAGGAGGAGGGCCGCGAACUGUUUAGUGAUGUUCGUUUAGUUUCUGACGGCUUGGCUGCCAUGCCUGAGAAAGGCAGCCCGUCGGCACAGUGGGCUGCGGUGUUUGCAGCUUUGGGUAAGCGAGUGAACCAGAAGCUUGCUCACCGUGAUCCGUGGGAAGCUCAGAGACGAGACCUGGGUGGUGCCAGCAUGUUGCCAGGCAGUAGCUUUAGAUAUUGAACUUGGGGGAACCAGAUGGCUUUAUGUGCUGCAUGGAAGGGGUGGGGGGGGGGUGCUGAUGUCUCAGCGACUUCGGCUUCCCUUUUAUUUAGAACAAAAGACCCUUGUCCAGUGGGAGUUGGUGUGGGGAUCUGGGCUGCAAGAAGCAGUGUGGCCCAAUGGUUAAGAGCAUGGGCACAUGGGUCUGAAGGUGGGACCCUGGACAAGUUAUUUAAUCUCCCUGUGCAUCUGUUUCUUCAUCUGUAAAAUGUGGUGAGAGUCCUUGUACCUGCUUUGGGUGGUUUAAGGAAUUAAUGGGAGGGGAGGGCUGAGCCUAGAACCUGAUGAGGAGUUAGGAACCUACUCUUACUUAGAUGAUUAGUAGUAUGUUUUUCUGGAAGGAGCGAUCAGCCUUGCUCCGGAGGUUUAAUGACAGUGAGUGGGUUUCACACGUCAAUGUGCAAAAAAAUCACAUGGGCUUUUCCUUGGAUGUGUUGAAAUCAGGCCCUCAGUUGAGGGGCCCAGACGGUGCUGAUGCAGUAGGGUGGGCAUGCAGGGUCUGCAGAGAACUUUGUGACUCCUCCUUUUUUUUUAAUUGAAAAAAAAUUUUUUUUUUGCAUUUCAUUUUAUUGGAGUAGAGUUGAUGUACAGUGUUGUAUUAGUGUCAGGUGUAUAGCAUAUACAUUUUUUUUCAAAUAUAAAUAUAUAUGUAUUUUUUCAAACUCUGGAGUAGAUUCUCUUGUGCUAUACAGUAGAUUCUCAUUGGGUGCUUUUUUUUUUAGGGCUACACCCGUGGCAUAUGGAAGUUCCCAGGCCAGGGGUCGAAUUGGAGCUGCAGCUGCUGGCCUAUGCCACAGUCACAGUAACGCAGGAUCUGAGCCAUGUCUGCGACCUCCACCACAGCUCACGGCAACACUGGCUCCUUAACCCACUGAGCGAGGCCAGGGAUCGAACCUGCGUCCUCAUGGAUACUAGUCGGGUUUGUUAACCACUGAGCCUCGAUGGGAACUCCCUGUUAGGUGACUCCUUAACGGCAGCGUUUCCCGGAUUCUCGAGGAACAAGAGUCCCCAAUGCCAUCACCACAUCCGUCUUCCCCUCGGAUCAUCUAGAAACAGUUCUGUGCACACCUGAUUUGGGUGCUGGGUGGGCGCGAUGGGUGUGGAUGGCUCAGGCUGCUCCUCUCUGCUCCUGGGCAAAUCGAGUCCUGCCUGCACCCUCUGAGGGCUGGGCCGGCACCAGCAGCGGUGAGGUGAGAGAAGGUUUGUCUGCCGUGUCCUGUGUCUGGCUGAGCCCGUGCCCCACGCCCCGUUCUCCCUUUGCCAGUAAGAGCUCUGGGCCUGUUUCAGUGGGUAACUAGUAUGUGUGUGUGUGCGUGUGUGUGUGCACACGCGUGCAAAAGAAAAGAUCAACACGUUUUGGGGAGUGUUUUAGGAAAAUAGCAAGGAGCCAGUUGCCAAGAUUUGCUUCUAUGUUUCUUUUCCUUUGCUUUUUGCUGGGUGCAUGUGUGAUCAGCAUCCCGGAGCGCUCGGAGAUACAGCUUUGCCUUUUCUUACCCCAACUGUUCCUUCUUACCGCGGAGAGGCUACAAUUCAGCACCAAUAAUACUGAGCAAUAAAUAACCCGGAGAAGAUGAAUAGCCUUGUGUGGUGGUAAAUUAAAGUUGAUUUAUUGCACAUAAUAUAUACAGGUGCUCGUAAUGUAAUUAAGCAGGGAGGCUUUUAAUGCUGCAGAAUCUGAAAGAAGACCCAAGAAAAUUGGGUCUUAAUAAGGCUUAUUGAAGUCACAGCUAAACAUGCUGCUUAGAACCAUUAGAGGCGGCUGAAAGAUGGAUCGACUGCUCUGCUUUUUCUCAUGUGUGGAGGUGACACACCUGACCCGUUGUCGUCGUCGUCGUCAGCAGGGCACGCACCGGAAUUGUUCUCCCCGCACCAGGAGGUGCUGUCUCCGCACCCUGGCCUCGCCCCUCUUGUGACCAGCUGUCAGGUGGCUGGCCGUCGAACCGGCUUUUUCCAAGUGCAGGGCAAGGUGGCCCGUGGGUGUGGAACUCGUGACCACAGCCUCAUCAGCAUCCUCUUCUAAGACCUGGGACAGGCAAGAGAGGGUUGGUAAAUUCGUAGACGGAGGCCACCUCCCCCCGAUUUCCCCCACUGUCAGCUUAACACGGUGCUGGAGUUGGGGGAGACAGGGAUGAAAACAACAGGCAGAGUAAACCCCCCCCCGCCCCUUCCUCAUCAGGGCUAGUGGGCGUGUGAGAAGGCUGGGAUGGAGGCCAAGGCCACAGGACAGAAGAGGGGCCAGCUCCCUAGGAGGGGCAUCUGUGGGGAAUGGGUCGGCGGCGGCGGGGGGGGGGGGGGGGGCUGCCGUGGGUGCAGGUAGAGCCGUGGGGCAGCAGCCCCCAGGGGAAUGGGUGCUGGAGGGAGGGGUCAGGGUGUGGGUGGGAGAGGAGGUUGGAUGGGUGGCUUGGGGGCAAGAACAGGAAAGAUGUUGCCAGCUGAGAUAUGGGAUUGCAAAGACCCAAAGGCAGUCUGCAAUCCCGCUGGCCUGUGAGCCCCGGCAGGACCAAAUUCAUCUUCGAGAAAGGAAAACUCUCAGCAGCAUUGCAGAGUUAGAGGGAGACCAUGUAGCCAAGAGAACAUGGCCUGGACAAGAGCAGAGGCCGAGUGAAUAUGAAAAAGCAGUGGGGUGAGAGUUAAAGUCCCCACCUGUGCCUUCGGGGACUCCAGGGGAUGUGGCUGGGGUCCUAGAGAGAGGAUGAGUCAGUUGGGGGCCAGUACUGGUGCAAGAACCCCCCUGGGGGACUUGUUAGAAAUGGAAGUGGGGGGGCCCUCAUCUUGGGGUCUCCAGUUCCUGGGGUCUUUUUGUCUGGGACAGUACCAGGGCUGUCACUUAGAGAGGCGGCUCUAAGUUGCCCCUGGACAUGAGUGGGUUAUUCCCCAGUGUUCGGGACCAGGAAGGAUAGGAGAGUUUCUUGCAAGCCUGUAGAUACGGACCUGUAGAGAGUUAUCUGUAGGGGCUUAAGAUUUUAGGCAGCUG
Molecule: long non-coding RNA, 6315 nt
Filed under: Sus scrofa (pig)
Lineage: Eukaryota; Metazoa; Chordata; Mammalia; Artiodactyla; Suidae
Description: lncRNA (ENSSSCG00055016299.1)
Source: RNAcentral